This 252-nucleotide ribosomal RNA is filed under the name uncultured bacterium. RNAcentral's name for it is "partial 16S ribosomal RNA". It matches the Rfam family "Bacterial small subunit ribosomal RNA", at positions 524 to 776 of the family's 1533-position model. The record is from RNAcentral.
UACAGAGGCCUCAAGCGUUGUUCGGAAUCACUGGGCGUAAAGGGUGCGUAGGCGGCGCGGAAAGUCAGGGGUGAAAUCCCGGAGCUCAACUCCGGAACUGCCUUUGAUACUCCCGCGCUUGAGAACUGGAGGGGAGAUCGGAAUUCACGGUGGAGCAGUGAAAUGCGUGGAUAGUCGUGAGGACACUAGUGGCGAAGGCGGAUCUCUGGACAGUAUCUGACGCUGAGGCACGAAGCCAGGGGAGCGAACGGG